Long non-coding RNA from Dipodomys spectabilis (banner-tailed kangaroo rat), 1387 nucleotides. RefSeq lists it as uncharacterized. NCBI's taxonomy places the organism in Eukaryota, Metazoa, Chordata, Mammalia, Rodentia, Heteromyidae. The record is from RefSeq and is a predicted model, not a curated record. The transcript has 3 exons.
UUUUCAAAAGCAGUUAUUUAAGCCAUUUUAAUGUUCAGCAAUCUGAAUGGUCUUUUCAUUAAUUAAAAUUAGAUUUUUGGAAAAUAGCUAAAAAAUUCCCAUGUUUUUUUUUUUUGUUUGUUUACAAUAUCUAAUGCAUGGCAAUAGUUAAAUGUUUCCCCUUACUGGUAAAAGGCCACUUAAGAGUGUAGCAAAUAUAGAUUGAGCUAUGUAUGUUAGAUUGCAAUAAUGUAUGUUAGUUUUAAUAAGUAAAGACCAGUGUUUUUCCUACAAUAUGAAUGUCUUAAUUUUGAGUUACAAGGUAUUUGUGUGGAUAGCUGUUGAAAAGUCAUAGUUGUAAUAAUUUAGAGAGAAAGGAAAGAUUUGACUGAGCAAGCCUUAUUAAGAACACCACUACUUGCUACUGUUCAUUCUGAAAGGAAAUACGAAUUCUAUGAUUAUAUAUAAAAAUAACUUAGAUUAGCUAUAAUGAUAAAGUAUAUUGGCUUUUCUUUAAUUUCUGAUAUGAAAAGAUAUAUUGAAUAGACAUUUCCUGCACAAUUUUGUUACAUAGAACAGCUUUUAGGCAGCCUUUAUUUAUAAAGUUAUGCAAGCACACAAUUUCCCCAUUUACUACUUCAGUGCCCACAAUAGGAGGUAGCUACAUGGUUUAUUGCAUCAGGGCCCAGGAGGGUCAAGGAAACAAUUCUGAUCUUUUGGGGAUGGGGGAAGAGGGUUCUGUGGCUGUAGGGGAGGAACUGCAAGUGCCUGAGGACCAGAGUGACCUCUGGCUCUGCAACUGAACACUUAAAUCUAAAGAGCCUUCUCUCAAGAAGUGCCAGUCUUUAAAGGAAAGUAGCCAGCACCUCUAUGAUGCAACAGAAGAACAUGAACAACGUCAGUUGAAUGGACUGCACUGAAAUCCAAGUCAGUUUUUAAUAACUAUGGGUGAUCUUGGCCAAGUGACUUCUCAGCCACCAUUCUCUGCAUCUCCUAAAUGCAAGUAAUGCUUGGAAAACUUUCUAGGAUUAACUGAUUAAAGGAACAGAGGCACUUUAGAUACAAAAAGUAACUCCUAAGGAAUAGUAGCUGUUUCAUAAUUGUAUAGUUUGUACUCUAGGAAAAGAGUGAAGAGGUAAAAGGCAGUAGAGGACAAAUUAAGGUGAUGAUGUAGACUUUGGGGCUAGGUGAGUAUCUUUUUUUUCUGUUUAUUUUCAUAAUGCUUUUCUGUGUUUCUAGAAACUAAUGUUUUGAACUUCUUUUAUAAAAUUUAGUGACUACUAGUAGAAUUCUAUUUAUUGCAGAAGUUAUCUUCAUUUAAGUGGCUGAAAGUAUUGUUUAUUACCUAAUUAUCAAAUGACUACAAAGAACAUAACAUUAAAUUCAGUGACGUAAUUAGUCACUGCCU